UUGGAGGGCAAGUCUGGUGCCAGCAGCCGCGGUAAUUCCAGCUCCAAUGGCGUAUAUUUAAGUUGUUGCAGUUAAAAAGCUCGUAGUUGAAUUUCGGGGUUAGUAGGUUGGUCAUGCCUCCGGUAUGUACUGGUCUCACUGAUUCCUCCUUCCUGAUGAACCUUAAUGCCAUUAAUUUGGUGUUUUGGGGAAUUUGGACUGUUACUUUGAAAAAAUUAGAGUGUUUAAAGCAAGCUAACGCUUGAAUACAUUAGCAUGGAAUAAUGAAAUAGGACGUUCGAUCCUAUUUUGUUGGUUUCUAGGAUUGACGUAAUGAUUAAUAGGGAUAGUUGGGGGCAUUAGUAUUCAAUUGUCAGAGGUGAGAUUCUUGGAUUUAUUGAAGACUAACUACUGCGAAAGCAUUUGCCAAGGAUGUUUUCAUUAAUCAAGAACGAAAGUUAGGGGAUCGAAGACGAUCAGAUACCGUCGUAGUCUUAACCAUAAACUAUGCCGACUAGGGAUCGGAUGAUGUUAAUUUUUUAAUGACUCAUUCGGCGCCUUACGGGAAACCAAAGUGUUUGGGUUC
This 565-nucleotide ribosomal RNA is filed under the name uncultured Glomeromycotina. RNAcentral describes it as "SSU rRNA". It matches the Rfam family "Eukaryotic small subunit ribosomal RNA", at positions 548 to 1114 of the family's 1831-position model. The record is from RNAcentral. Lineage: Eukaryota; Fungi; Glomeromycota.